Molecule: transfer RNA, 65 nt
Filed under: Coleoptera sp. 5 KM-2017
Lineage: Eukaryota; Metazoa; Arthropoda; Insecta; Coleoptera
Description: tRNA-Trp
Source: RNAcentral
AAGAAUUUAAGUUAAUUUAAACUAUUGACCUUCAAAGUCAAAAAUAAUUUUAUUUUUAAUUCUUA